This 3354-nucleotide long non-coding RNA is filed under the name Nicotiana tabacum (common tobacco). Its description in RNAcentral is "long non-coding RNA (NTAB_LNC002331)". The record is from RNAcentral. Lineage: Eukaryota; Viridiplantae; Streptophyta; Magnoliopsida; Solanales; Solanaceae.
ACAAACGGAUGUUCGGAUGGCAUAGGCCAAAUGGGCGAUUCGCCCUUUUUUGUUGUGUUUUGAGGUUCCAACCUAAACUAGUUUCUUCGAUACUUCCCAUAUGAAAUUUAAUACUAUACAAGGAUACAAUACAUGAUUAAAUUUCCCUUUAAUAACUCUUAAAAGAUCAAUAAGAAAGGGUAAAACUUAGCUAAACCAAACCAUACUGAAAAUGAAGCGAAAACGCUACAUACCUCUUGUGUUCUCGCUUACAAACAUUGUUCCCUUUGAUCCACACCCUUCCUUAUGCUUGUAUAGAUAAAAUACAGAGGUUACCAUCUUUAUCAGCCACUAAGCUCUAUCCAAAACUUGAUUUAUAAUGAAAAAGGAGGACGGCAAAGUCUUACCAUGUCGUAAGGAUCAUGUUCGUUUCUUGAUUUUGAGUUGUGGAUGAUGGACUUGCUUCAAAACCCUAAGGAACAUAUUGGAGAGAUAUGUAAUCUCUUCUUAGGCAUGAAAUUUAUGCAAAAUGAGGAAAGAAGAAGACUGUGUCUUCUAUUUAUAGUAAGGUUGAAAAGUCAACCACAUGUGUGCUUACUGAUCCUUCUUCCGACGCCCAUAUUUCUCUAUCCAAACAUCGUAAAAAGAGAAGUCGAGAGUGUUAGAACCUAAAUUUCAUGAACUUAAAUUUGGUAUAUAAUAUGUCCCAAAAAUACCUAAUAUAACACACAAAAUUAAAAAAAGCUUCGUUACAAGGCAAAUCCUUAGUCGGUUUUUCCGCAACUUAAAUUUGAUUUUUCCUAAACUUUAUAUUUUAUAUUCAAACAUCAUACAUAGUCAUAUUAUGACUUUAAACUCAUUUAAAUCAUGCUUAUCAAGUCAUUUACAUAAUAUACAACAUCACAUAAGUACGGGUAUAAUAAUUUCUUUUCAUUAGUGAAGUUUAUUUUUGCAUAUUAUUUGUUGGCUUGUCUAGCAAGCGGUGUUAGGAUCCAUCAUAGUUUUUAUGGGAGUUUGGGUCGUGAUAAGUUGGUAUUAUAGCACUAGUUUGCAUAAGUCUCGCAAUUCAUGAGCAUGCCUAGUAGAGUCUUGUGGAUCGAUACGGACGUUUGUACUUAUCUUUGAGAGGCUAUAGGGCUUUAGGAAACUUACCCUUUAUUGAUUCCUUUCAUGCGAUUUUAUUUUGUCCUUAAGCCUAUAUAUUAAAUUCUUUCCUACCCAUUUUGUACUCAGUUCUGAGUACUCAAUAUCAUAUGGGCACCGACGAGCUUUGAUGAUGAUACAAACAUGAUGAGGGAUUUUUUCUCUUGUGUGGGAGGUUAGAAUAUUAUUGUCGCUUUGCAGAUGAGUUAUUAGAGCCCAAGUGUCACACCUCCUUUUUCCUAUCCCCGAGGGAGAUAUAAGGGAGUUUUUUCAAUUUAAGUGACAAUCAAAACAGGAUUAUUUCAUUUAAAGAUUCAGAGUCACCACUUGGGAUAAUUUAUGGUGUCCCAAGUCACCGGUUUUAAUCCCGAAUCGAGGAAAGAUUGACUCUGUUUUACAGUCCGCGGACACAGAAAUCCGGGUAAGGAAUUCUGUUAACCCGGGAGAAGGUGUUAGGCAUUCUCGGGUUCCGUGGUUUUAGCACGGUCGCUCAACUGUUAUAUUGGCCUAAUUAUCUGAUUUUAAUACAUGUUUUAGCCUAUGGUAUAUUUUAACUUAUUAGCCGCUUUUAAUUAAUUUUAGGAAGAUUUAACGUUAUCUAAAACACAUCUUGAACCAUGCCACAUGAAAUGCACUCGCAGUCCACGACACAUUUUAUUUACGUUGUUCAGAAUUGGAGAUGGGUCACAUGAAAUGCACACCCGAGUUUAAGGAAAUUAAUUUAAAUUACGUGCCUAAAGCAACUAAGCACUUUCAAGUUUGCGAGGGCCAUGGAAAAUUCAACUAAAUAGCACACCUCGAUUCUAUUUGUCAAAGAAAUCUUGAUCUAAUUCUAACAGGGCCAUAAGUUAUGGACAAGAUAUUAUUGUGGAAAACACCCUUCAAUGGCAAGAACUAAUUUUUGGAGCAGCUAAAUUAAUUUCUUUAUAAAAAAUGAGCUAUAUCAGAUUUAAUGCAUCAAACCAAACGGAAACGGAAAUAAACAAACGCAAUCUGUCCCAUUACAAGGGCCAAUAAAGCACUACCAAAAAUUCGAGAUGCCAAAAAUUUGAUAGUAACAAUCGGAUCCAAACACAUGUGUCACAGAGAAAAAUAGAGGGAGAUGCAAAGCUAACCAACUCCUUGCUUCUUAGCUUUACCAUUUGAAAUGGUUGGCAAUUUUUUGCAGAAUACUCAAAUUGGCGUGGAAUUUCAUUUGGCGCAAGAGACAUCAUUUAGGAAAUAAUGAAUGGAAUCAUCAUACUCAAAAUAUAGCAAUGUUAAAACCAUAGUGUCUUUAUGUCCAACAGUACGUUUGCAAAUUUAGAAUACAAUUAAGACACUCCAAUGAAUGCAACCCAAUUAUAAAUAAUCAAGUUAUUUACAAAGUCAUUGUGGCCACAAUUUGGGUAAUCAUCACAGUGCUACUCAUAUUGCCAAAGAAUCUCCCAAACUUUACUGCCGACAUCGAAUUAAUAUGAUAACUUCCAAUAAAAUUUUUAGACGUUCAUACAUGAUGGUUCUCAAACUUGACUGAAGCUAGUUGGAUUUUAUUUAGAAUUAGUCCAAACCAUUAUAUUCACAUUAGGCAACAAACUAUAUUUGAGCACUCCACCUUACUUCAGUGAACAAACAAAAUUCCACUAAUAUAUUCAAAUACUCAAAGUAAAGAAAAAUCUUCCAACAACAACAUAAUAUAGGUAAAUAAAGCGACACUCAUAUAUACAUGCCAAAACAAAUAUAAGUACGGACAGAUAGGAAAUCAAACAACAGUCAUGAUUUAGGAAUAGAAAAGUUCAUCAACCAGCUAGUUCAAUCAAAACAAUAGGAAAUCAAAGUGAUAAAUGGCACCUUUUAAAGAAAUUCGGAUGAAGCCUUUUCCAUUGUUUGAUUCAAUACAAAAUUAAUUCCCAAGUGAAAGCUUCAAAAUAGAGCUUGAAAUAAGCCACAACUGCCGAAUAAUUGAGCGAUGACACCCAGCAAUCUCGGAAGUAACACAGUCCCGCAGAAACAGUAGCAAUUUCCUUUACAAAACCGAAUUUUGGAAGCUCAUUUCCUUCUCAGAUCUGUUUUGUAAGAUUCAAAGAAGCAAUAGAAAACCAUUUUUCAGUUGUUUCGUGUGUGCCGAUGGGGAGAUGAGGAGGAUGAAAGCGAGAUGAGAGAAUCAAGGAGAGGGUAUCACGGCUAGUUGGUGUUUUUCGCAAACAAAGCUGAAGAAGACGACUUAGGGUGUGCCGUUUCUUUAGGGGUUGG